UACGGAGGGUGCAAGCGUUAUCCGGAUUUACUGGGUUUAAAGGGUGUGUAGGCGGGUCUUUAAGUCAGUGGUGAAAUCUCCGAGCUUAACUUGGAAACUGCCAUUGAUACUAUUGAUCUUGAAUUUUGUUGAGGUAGGCGGAAUAAGUCAUGUAGCGGUGAAAUGCAUAGAUAUGACUUAGAACACCAAUUGCGAAGGCAGCUUGCUAAACAAAUAUUGACGCUGAGGCACGAAAGCGUGGGGAUCAAACAGG
RNAcentral lists this ribosomal RNA (253 nucleotides) under uncultured bacterium. Its description in RNAcentral is "partial 16S ribosomal RNA". It matches the Rfam family "Bacterial small subunit ribosomal RNA", at positions 524 to 776 of the family's 1533-position model. The record is from RNAcentral.